RNAcentral lists this ribosomal RNA (253 nucleotides) under Phocaeicola dorei DSM 17855. RNAcentral's name for it is "partial 16S ribosomal RNA". It matches the Rfam family "Bacterial small subunit ribosomal RNA", at positions 524 to 776 of the family's 1533-position model. The record is from RNAcentral. Lineage: Bacteria; Pseudomonadati; Bacteroidota; Bacteroidia; Bacteroidales; Bacteroidaceae.
UACGGAGGAUCCGAGUGUUAUCCGGAUUUAUUGGGUUUAAAGGGAGCGUAGAUGGAUGUUUAAGUCAGUUGUGAAAGUUUGCGGCUCAACCGUAAAAUUGCAGUUGAUACUGGAUGUCUUGAGUGCAGUUGAGGCAGGCGGAAUUCGUGGUGUAGCGGUGAAAUGCUUAGAUAUCACGAAGAACUCCGAUUGCGAAGGCAGCCUGCUAAGCUGCAACUGACAUUGAGGCUCGAAAGUGUGGGUAUCAAACAGG